UACGGAGGGUGCAAGCGUUGUUCGGAAUCACUGGGCGUAAAGCGCGUGUAGGCGGCGUUCUAAGUCUGAUGUGAAAGCCCGGGGCUCAACCCCGGAAGUGCAUCGGAUACUGGGAGGCUAGAGUACCGGAGAGGAGGGUGGAAUUCCUGGUGUAGCGGUGAAAUGCGUAGAUAUCAGGAGGAACACCGGUGGCGAAGGCGGCCCUCUGGACGGAUACUGACGCUGAGACGCGAAAGCGUGGGGAGCAAACAGG
Molecule: ribosomal RNA, 253 nt
Filed under: uncultured bacterium
Lineage: Bacteria
Description: partial 16S ribosomal RNA
Rfam family: Bacterial small subunit ribosomal RNA
Source: RNAcentral